Molecule: ribosomal RNA, 450 nt
Filed under: uncultured bacterium
Lineage: Bacteria
Description: partial 16S ribosomal RNA
Rfam family: Bacterial small subunit ribosomal RNA
Source: RNAcentral
GUGGGGAAUAUUGGACAAUGGGCGAAAGCCUGAUCCAGCCAUGCCGCGUGUGUGAAGAAGGUCUUCGGAUUGUAAAGCACUUUAAGUUGGGAGGAAGGGUAGUAACCUAAUACGUUGCUACUUUGACGUUACCGACAGAAUAAGCACCGGCUAACUUCGUGCCAGCAGCCGCGGUAAUACGAAGGGUGCAAGCGUUAAUCGGAAUUACUGGGCGUAAAGCGCGCGUAGGUGGUUCAGUAAGUUGGAAGUGAAAUCCCCGGGCUCAACCUGGGAACUGCUUUCAAAACUGCGGGGCUAGAGUACGGUAGAGGGUGGUGGAAUUUCCUGUGUAGCGGUGAAAUGCGUAGUUAUAGGAAGGAACACCAGUGGCGAAGGCGACCACCUGGACUGAUACUGACACUGGGGUGCGAAAGCGUGGGGAGCAAACAGGAUUAGAAACCCGUGUAGUCC